GGGGUUAUAGCUCAGUGGUAGAGCACUUGCCUCUCAGGUGAGGGGCCCUGGGUUCGAUUCUCAGCACCA
Ictidomys tridecemlineatus (thirteen-lined ground squirrel) is the source of this 69-nucleotide non-coding RNA. The record is from Rfam. NCBI's taxonomy places the organism in Eukaryota, Metazoa, Chordata, Mammalia, Rodentia, Sciuridae.